ACUCUUUUUGACAGCACAUAUUCUAAAAUUGGGACAAUACAGAGAAGAUCAGUGUGACUUCUGCAUAAAGAUGACAUGCAAAUCUGUGAAACAUGUAUUUUUUAU
This is a small nuclear RNA of Antechinus flavipes (yellow-footed antechinus), 105 nucleotides long. The record is from RefSeq and is a predicted model, not a curated record. Lineage: Eukaryota; Metazoa; Chordata; Mammalia; Dasyuromorphia; Dasyuridae.